GGUUCGCGCCAAUCUAGGGUAGCCCAAGAUCGCAGCAAACCGAGGGUCAGGUUGGCUUCGCCCCACCCGCGGACAUGGCUGUCGAGGUUCAAAACAUCAUCUUUUCGCUAGCUGCCAUCUUGCGUCCCCGCAAGUGUGUGCCUAAUCUCAGCUGGUCUGCCUGAGACCUCCUGAGCGCCAACCCUAGUCCUCCGCACGGCCCCUUUUCCGCUCUGACAAGAUGAAAGAAACUAUCAUGAACCAGGAAAAACUUGCCAAGCUGCAGGCACAAGUGUGCAUUGGUGGGAAAGGAACUGUUGGCAGAAAGAAGAAGGUGGUUUAUAGAACAGCUACAGCAGAUGAUAAGAAACUUCAGUUCUCCUUAAAGAAGUUAGGAGUAAACAAUAUCUCUGGUAUUGAAGAAGUGAAUAUGUUUCCAAACCAGGGAACAGCGAUCCACUUUAACAACCCAAAGUUCAGGCAUCUCUGGCAGCGAAUACUUUCACCGUUACGGGCCGUGCUGAGACAAAGCAGUUGAUGGAAAUGCUCCCCAGCAUCUUAAACCAGCUCGGGGCAGAUGGUCUGACUAGUCUAAGGAGACCGGCUGAAGCUCUGCCCAGACACUGUGGAUGGAGAAGCACCACUUGCUGCUGGAGAGGAGGAGGAGGAAGUUCCAGAUCUCGUGGAGAAUUUUGAUGAGGCUUCCAAGAAUGAGGCACACGGAACUGAGUCAACUUCUGAAAGGGAUAAACUUGACGAAGUUCCUGGGAGCUGCUAUUUUAUAUUAUGAUUGCUUUUUAAAAUUCUGUUUUGUGUAUGGAUCUGAUAAAAUCGAGAUCUCUAAUAUUUUAAGCCUAAGCUCCUUGGACACUGCAGCUCUUUUCAGUUUUUGCUUAUACGCCGUUCAUUCUUUGCAGCUAAUUAAGCUGAAGAAGCCUGGGAAUAAAGUUUGGAACAAAGGUUAA
Molecule: long non-coding RNA, 944 nt
Organism: Tupaia belangeri chinensis (Chinese tree shrew)
Lineage: Eukaryota; Metazoa; Chordata; Mammalia; Scandentia; Tupaiidae
Exons: 2
Source: RefSeq, a predicted model, not a curated record